Molecule: long non-coding RNA, 249 nt
Organism: Mus musculus (house mouse)
Lineage: Eukaryota; Metazoa; Chordata; Mammalia; Rodentia; Muridae
Product: RIKEN cDNA 1700121M21 gene
Exons: 3
Source: RefSeq, a predicted model, not a curated record
UGCAGGGUAGGAGCCUGGAGAGAACUUCGAGCAAGGAAACCGCCCCAGCUGUGCACGGGCUCGGGGCAGCUGUGCGUUAACCUGUGAUCAUUUUCUCUCGUGGAUCGGCUCUCUUGAUGGGAAACAGAUGGCACAGAAGCCCGGAUCUCACUCCUGAUGAGCUAGAGGUCUGCCAUCAGAAGAGCUGUUCUACCACGGCAUAGCCUGCCUGAGGGAGGUCAUACCAAGACAUGGCUUCCUCUAGCUCGC